AUACUUACCUGGCAGGGAGAUACCAUGUUUACGAAGGUGGUUUUCCCAGGGCAAGGUUUAUCCUUCGGAUGUACUGACACCUCAAAUGGGGGAAACUUGACUGCAUGAUUUUUGGUGGUGGGAACUGUGUUUAUGUUCUUCUGU
Molecule: small nuclear RNA, 144 nt
Organism: Rattus norvegicus (Norway rat)
Lineage: Eukaryota; Metazoa; Chordata; Mammalia; Rodentia; Muridae
Product: U1 spliceosomal RNA
Source: Ensembl